This 28-nucleotide small nuclear RNA is filed under the name Arabidopsis thaliana (thale cress). Its description in RNAcentral is "snRNA_01626". The record is from RNAcentral. Lineage: Eukaryota; Viridiplantae; Streptophyta; Magnoliopsida; Brassicales; Brassicaceae.
GUCCCUGUCUACUAUCCAGCGAAACCAC